RNAcentral lists this long non-coding RNA (377 nucleotides) under Equus caballus (horse). Its description in RNAcentral is "lncRNA (ENSECAG00000055430.1)". Lineage: Eukaryota; Metazoa; Chordata; Mammalia; Perissodactyla; Equidae. The record is from RNAcentral.
GAUGUUUGAUGGAAGACAUAUUAGAUGAAAAUUCUUUGGUGAGUUAGUUCCUUAGGAAGAACCUGGAAUUGUGAAGAAGCUCUGUGUCAACUUCUGCUUCCAUAAAAAAGAAGAGGUUUUUAUGACUGAAAUCACCCAUGCUACUUCUUCUGGCACUACCUCACUGAUAUCCUAGGUCUCCAUUGUUGUGCGGUAGUCUCUGCACAAAGAAGAAGAAAUGAAGGUAAAUGAAGACGCUUCAUUCUAAAGACUCUAACAUUAUAGAAGAUCGUGAUGAUUAUUGUCCAAGGAGAUCCACCACUGCCAUCCCAAGACAAAGUUAGCAGGAAGGACAAUCUUCAGGAUGGACCCAAGACUCCAGGGAUCAGGGGAAUUCA